UGCGUAGGCGGUUUACUAAGUCAGACGUGAAAGCCCGAGGCUCAACUUCGGGACUGCAUUUGAAACUGGUAAACUAGAAUACAGGAGAGGUAAGUGGAAUUCCUAGUGUAGCGGUGAAAUGCGUAGAUAUUAGGAGGAACACCAGUGGCGAAGGCGACUUACUGGACUGUGAUUGACGCUGAGGCACGAAAGCGUGGGGAGCAAACAGGAUUAGAUACCCUGGUAGUCC
This 229-nucleotide ribosomal RNA is filed under the name uncultured bacterium. RNAcentral's name for it is "partial 16S ribosomal RNA". It matches the Rfam family "Bacterial small subunit ribosomal RNA", at positions 568 to 796 of the family's 1533-position model. The record is from RNAcentral.